GAACCCCCUCUGGCAGCACCUCCACUACAACUGGAAUGAUGCGGAGAAGAUUAGCAGACCCCUACACAAGGAUGACACACAAACAUGUGCAAUGUUCAUGUUUUUU
This 106-nucleotide small nuclear RNA is filed under the name Procavia capensis (Cape rock hyrax). The record is from RNAcentral. Lineage: Eukaryota; Metazoa; Chordata; Mammalia; Hyracoidea; Procaviidae.